CUCCACCGUCUCGCCGAGUGCCAGCAAGAGUCAUGAGUACUUGUUAACUCGACUCCUCAACUGGAGAUAACUUUCUAGCACCUCACCAUGGGGAAGGACGCAUUCAUAUGCCUUCACCAGCACCUGCAUUAAACAUGCAGAGAGUUACACAAGGAACGGCAGUCCCUCCUCGACUCCCUCCACCCCCUCACCAGCAGCCCUCAACAUGUGGCAGACAGAGGAGCCUGGAUCCAGCCUGGCCUACAGGCCAACAUGGCGAGGGGGAAGAAUGGCCGACAACAUUUCCUGCUCUGCGCCUGAGGUAAUCCACAUCCUUAGCCUGCUGGAAACUAUUAAGCACAACCAAGACCAGCUGAUUGCGAAGGUGCUGUGAGUAAAAAUGUGUUGACAAGGUCAGCCACGGACGCUGAGGUCACCAAACACGCCAUCAGGUUGGCGGGGGAUCGGGCAACGAGGAGACGAGUCCCGC
Molecule: long non-coding RNA, 469 nt
Organism: Entelurus aequoreus (snake pipefish)
Lineage: Eukaryota; Metazoa; Chordata; Actinopteri; Syngnathiformes; Syngnathidae
Exons: 5
Source: RefSeq, a predicted model, not a curated record